GUCCUUGUAGCUUACAAAAAAGCAUAGCACUGAAGAUGCUAAGACGACCUCUAACAUGUGUCCAAGGACAA
This 71-nucleotide transfer RNA is filed under the name Pterocles namaqua (Namaqua sandgrouse). RNAcentral describes it as "tRNA-Phe". The record is from RNAcentral. Lineage: Eukaryota; Metazoa; Chordata; Aves; Pterocliformes; Pteroclidae.